This 76-nucleotide transfer RNA is filed under the name Edwardsiella tarda. RNAcentral's name for it is "tRNA-Met(cat)". It matches the Rfam family "tRNA". From Rfam's summary of the family: Transfer RNA (tRNA) molecules are approximately 80 nucleotides in length. Their secondary structure includes four short double-helical elements and three loops (D, anti-codon, and T loops). RNAcentral also lists the same sequence under 3 other names. Lineage: Bacteria; Pseudomonadati; Pseudomonadota; Gammaproteobacteria; Enterobacterales; Hafniaceae. The record is from RNAcentral.
GGCCCUUUAGCUCAGCGGUGAGAGCAGUCGGCUCAUAACCGAUUGGUCGCUGGUUCAAACCCAGCAAGGGCCACCA